GACGAACGCUGGCGGCGUGCCUAAUACAUGCAAGUUGAGCGCUGAAGGUUGGUACUUGUACCGACUGGAUGAGCAGCGAACGGGUGAGUAACGCGUGGGGAAUCUGCCUUUGAGCGGGGGACAACAUUUGGAAACGAAUGCUAAUACCGCAUAAAAACUUUAAACACAAGUUUUAAGUUUGAAAGAUGCAAUUGCAUCACUCAAAGAUGAUCCCGCGUUGUAUUAGCUAGUUGGUGAGGUAAAGGCUCACCAAGGCGAUGAUACAUAGCCGACCUGAGAGGGUGAUCGGCCACAUUGGGACGGAGACACGGCCCAAACUCCUACGGGAGGCAGCAGUAGGGAAUCUUCGGCAAUGGACGAAAGUCUGACCGAACAACGCCGCGUGAGUGAAGAAGGUUUUCGGAUCGUAAAACUCUGUUGGUAGAGAAGAACGUUGGUGAGAGUGGAAAGCUCAUCAAGUGACGGUAACUACCCAGAAAGGGACGGCUAACUACGUG
This 497-nucleotide ribosomal RNA is filed under the name uncultured bacterium. RNAcentral describes it as "partial 16S ribosomal RNA". It matches the Rfam family "Bacterial small subunit ribosomal RNA", at positions 28 to 507 of the family's 1533-position model. The record is from RNAcentral.